This 237-nucleotide ribosomal RNA is filed under the name Salmonella enterica subsp. enterica serovar Muenchen. RNAcentral describes it as "partial 23S ribosomal RNA". It matches the Rfam family "Bacterial large subunit ribosomal RNA", at positions 1 to 238 of the family's 2925-position model. The record is from RNAcentral. Lineage: Bacteria; Pseudomonadati; Pseudomonadota; Gammaproteobacteria; Enterobacterales; Enterobacteriaceae. RNAcentral also lists the same sequence under 4 other names.
GGUUAAGCGACUAAGCGUACACGGUGGAUGCCCUGGCAGUCAGAGGCGAUGAAGGACGUGCUAAUCUGCGAUAAGCGCCGGUAAGGUGAUAUGAACCGUUAUAACCGGCGAUUUCCGAAUGGGGAAACCCAGUGUGAUUCGUCACACUAUCAUUAACUGAAUCCAUAGGUUAAUGAGGCGAACCGGGGGAACUGAAACAUCUAAGUACCCCGAGGAAAAGAAAUCAACCGAGAUUCC